GCCGGUUACAUAAAUGCUGGAAACGAGCCAAGUAAAACAGCCCCCAAACAGAUGGCCAUGUGUGUAAAUGCCAGAAAGAAAAAUUCCCAAAGGAAGCAGUCAUAAAAUACAAGAAGAAAGAAAGAAGGAAAGAAAGAAAGAAAGAAAGAAGGAAGGAAAGAAAGAAAGAAAGAAAGAAAGAAAGAAAGAAAGAAAGAAAGAAAGAAAGAAAGAAAGAAAGAAAGAAAAGGAAAAAGAAGGGAAUAAAUAUAAGAGUGUGUCUUUGGGCAAAUCUAAGUCAUCGGAGUCAUCCACACAACGUCUUCAGGGAUCAAGUAUUCUAGGAAAGUGCUAUCUGUGCCUAUUAAGAAAUGUCAACAAAGGAGAUUUUACAGUAAGUCAAAUAAAUCCACCUGGUGAUCCAAAAGAAGCUAGAAGUGGAAUGCUUAUGUGGCUUUUACUUAAAAAUAAAAAGACCCUUUAUAGGCUUAGUUUCUUUCCUUCAAAGCAAAUUUAAAGAUAGCUGUAGUUCCUUCCAGCGCUGACCUACAUACCCCGGUUCCAAGUCCAUAUUGAUGCAAUCAAGAAAAGUUUACACUUCUGUAACUGUGAAGAAUUUCAGUUAUGCAUAAUAAAACACAGCAAGGAGUUUAAGGCUUUUCCACUUCAAAAACUAGGCUCUCUUCUUGUCUGAAAUGACUGAUAACAUUUUCUUUCUUUGCUCUAAUGAAAAUGGUGCACUUUUAAUAACUAGUAUAGCAAAUAUUAGACAGUUUCAAAGGAAAGUAAAUCAGUUCUUCAUCAAUUCCAUCAAAUUGCUUCCUUUUACUAAAC
RNAcentral lists this long non-coding RNA (813 nucleotides) under Chinchilla lanigera (long-tailed chinchilla). Its description in RNAcentral is "lncRNA (ENSCLAG00000027003.1)". The record is from RNAcentral. Lineage: Eukaryota; Metazoa; Chordata; Mammalia; Rodentia; Chinchillidae.